Molecule: unclassified non-coding RNA, 192 nt
Filed under: uncultured Cladophialophora
Lineage: Eukaryota; Fungi; Ascomycota; Eurotiomycetes; Chaetothyriales; Herpotrichiellaceae
Description: sequence contains ITS1
Source: RNAcentral
AAGAGUUAGGGUCUUCUAGGCCCGACCUCCCAACCCUAUGUUUAUUGAACCUCUGUUGCUUCGGCGGACCCGCUUCACGGCCGCCGGAGGACCGCUGAAAGGCGUCCUCUGGCCAGCGUCCGCCGAUAGCCAACCACUUAAAACUCAAAAUGAAUCGUGUCAUAUGUCUAAGUCUAUGAUUAAAUUAAAGCA